ACUCCCAUGUCUUGUUGUCCAUAAGAGAUUUGUACUCUUCUUGCAUAGCAAUCUCCCACUUCAUUGCAUCACCACACCUCAUUGCAUCACACACAGUCAAUGGAUCAUCAAGAAGAGCAACAUUGAUCUGAUCUUCAAUUACUUGUGGAAAGAUGUGGUUCUUCCACCAUUCACCUUGUGGUCUUCUUUCACGUAUUGGAUAUCUUCUUUCAUGCAAAGAAGAUGAGCCUUCAUGCACCUCUUGCUGCCUUCUAUGGCUCAUACACUUCCUUCUCUCAUUCAUUGGUUGAUAUUCUUCAUCUUCAUUCUCUUCAUUGUGCUUGUUGUAUCUUGCUGGAAUUGAAGGCUUUAUAGAUUUGGG
This 361-nucleotide long non-coding RNA is filed under the name Physcomitrium patens. RNAcentral's name for it is "long non-coding RNA (PPAT_LNC014884)". Lineage: Eukaryota; Viridiplantae; Streptophyta; Bryopsida; Funariales; Funariaceae. The record is from RNAcentral.